Molecule: ribosomal RNA, 461 nt
Filed under: uncultured bacterium
Lineage: Bacteria
Description: partial 16S ribosomal RNA
Rfam family: Bacterial small subunit ribosomal RNA
Source: RNAcentral
CCUACGGGAGGCAGCAGUGAGGAAUAUUGGUCAAUGGGCUUACGCCUGAACCAGCCAAGUCGCGUGAGGGAAGACUGCCCUAUGGGUUGUAAACCUCUUUUGUCAGGGAGCAACGCCGGCUACGUGUAGCCGACCUGAGAGUACCUGAAGAAAAAGCAUCGGCUAACUCCGUGCCAGCAGCCGCGGUAAUACGGAGGAUGCGGGCGUUAUCCGGAUUUAUUGGGUUUAAAGGGUGCGUAGGCGGAGUGAUAAGUUAGAGGUGAAAUGUCCGAGCUUAACUCGGGACCUGCCUCUAAUACUGUUGAUCUAGAGAGUAGAUGCGGUAGGCGGAAUGUAUGGUGUAGCGGUGAAAUGCUUAGAGAUCAUACAGAACACCGAUUGCGAAGGCAGCUUACCAAUCUAUAUCUGACGUUGAGGCACGAAAGCGUGGGGAGCAAACAGGAUUAGAUACCCCAGUAGUC